RNAcentral lists this ribosomal RNA (143 nucleotides) under uncultured eukaryote. Its description in RNAcentral is "partial 18S ribosomal RNA". It matches the Rfam family "Eukaryotic small subunit ribosomal RNA", at positions 1299 to 1458 of the family's 1831-position model. The record is from RNAcentral.
UGGUGGAGCGAUUUGUCUGGUCAAUUGCGAUAACGAACGAGACUCUAGCCUACUAAAUAGUUCGGGGACCCCCACAAAGGGGCCCCGCUUCAACUUCUUAGAGGGACAGGUGGCGUUUAGCCACACGAGAUUGAGCAAUAACA